RNAcentral lists this ribosomal RNA (250 nucleotides) under uncultured bacterium. RNAcentral's name for it is "partial 16S ribosomal RNA". It matches the Rfam family "Bacterial small subunit ribosomal RNA", at positions 526 to 779 of the family's 1533-position model. The record is from RNAcentral.
CGGAGGAUACAAGCGUUAUCCGGAUUUAUUGGGUUUAAAGGGUGCGUAGGUGGUUUUAAGUCAGUAGUGAAAGCUUAUAGCUCAACUAUAAAUGGCUAUUGAUACUGAAAACUAGAGUAAUAUUGGAGUAACUGGAAUGUGUGGUGUAGCGGUGGAAUGCAUAGAUAUCACACAGAACACCAAUCGCGAAGGCAGGUUACUAAGUAUUUACUGACACUGAGGCACGAAAGCAUGGGGAGCAAACAGGAUU